GACGAACGCUGGCGGCGUGCUUAACACAUGCAAGUCGAGCGAUGGAACACCUUCGGGUACGGAUUAGCGGCGAACGGGUGAGGAACACGUGAGGAAUCUGCCUUCCACUCUGGGAUAACUCCGGGAAACCGGGGCUAAUACCGGAUACUUUCAACUGGCGGCAUCGCCGGUUGAAGAAAGUUUUUCGGUGGAAGAUGACCUCGCGGCCUAUCAGCUUGUUGGUGAGGUAAAGGCUCACCAAGGCGACGACGGGUAGCCGGCCUGAGAGGGCGACCGGCCACACUGGGACUGAGACACGGCCCAGACUCCUACAGGAGGCAGCAGUGGGGAAUAUUGGGCAAUGGAGGAAACUCUGACCCAGCGACGCCGCGUGAGGGAUGAAGGCCUUCGGGUUGUAAACCUCUUUCAGCAGGGAAUAAGCGAAAGUGAAGGUACCUGCAGAAGAAGCACCGGCUAACUAUGUGCCAGCCGCCGCCGUAA
Molecule: ribosomal RNA, 480 nt
Filed under: uncultured bacterium
Lineage: Bacteria
Description: partial 16S ribosomal RNA
Rfam family: Bacterial small subunit ribosomal RNA
Source: RNAcentral